This 497-nucleotide ribosomal RNA is filed under the name uncultured bacterium. RNAcentral describes it as "partial 16S ribosomal RNA". It matches the Rfam family "Bacterial small subunit ribosomal RNA", at positions 28 to 507 of the family's 1533-position model. The record is from RNAcentral.
GAUGAACGCUGGCGGCGUGCCUAAUACAUGCAAGUCGAGCGAACAGACGAGGAGCUUGCUCCUCUGACGUUAGUGGCGGACGGGUGAGUAACACGUGGAUAACCUACCUAUAAGACUGGGAUAACUUCGGGAAACCGGAGCUAAUACCGGAUAAUAUAUUGAACCGCAUGGUUCAAUAGUGAGAGACGGUUUUGCUGUCACUUAUAGAUGGAUCCGCGCCGCAUUAGCUAGUUGGUAAGGUAACGGCUUACCAAGGCAACGAUGCGUAGCCGACCUGAGAGGGUGAUCGGCCACACUGGAACUGAGACACGGUCCAGACUCCUACGGGAGGCAGCAGUAGGGAAUCUUCCGCAAUGGGCGAAAGCCUGACGGAGCAACGCCGCGUGAGUGAUGAAGGUCUUCGGAUCGUAAAACUCUGUUAUUAGGGAAGAACAAAUGUGUAAGUAACUAUGCACGUCUUGACGGUACCUAAUCAGAAAGCCACGGCUAACUACGUG